This 243-nucleotide long non-coding RNA is filed under the name Setaria italica (foxtail millet). RNAcentral's name for it is "long non-coding RNA (SITA_LNC001818)". The record is from RNAcentral. Lineage: Eukaryota; Viridiplantae; Streptophyta; Magnoliopsida; Poales; Poaceae.
UCUGAUGCAACUAACCGUCCAUGGCGGUGCAAAAUAAAAUCCAGAGCCCAAAACAAAACCUGAUGAGUGUCCAAUCCCCAUCACUUGCUCCAGUGCUCUAAUCCUAGCUUCUGUGGAACUGUCCAUUGUUGACUGGAUCAAAAUCUCAAAACCAACGUACAUAAAUGCGACUUAUCUCAGCAACCAAUCAGCCAUGUUAUUCAACAUCAAUCAUCUCAAAUCAACCUCACCUAUUUGCCUUUG